RNAcentral lists this ribosomal RNA (422 nucleotides) under uncultured bacterium. Its description in RNAcentral is "bacterial SSU rRNA". It matches the Rfam family "Bacterial small subunit ribosomal RNA", at positions 358 to 772 of the family's 1533-position model. The record is from RNAcentral.
AGAAUCAUUCACAAUGGGGGAAACCCUGAUGGUGCAACGCCGCGUGGAGGAUGAAGGCCCUAGGGUCGUAAACUCCUGUCAUCGGAGAGUAAGCCUUGGUCGUUAAUAGCUUCCAAGGUUGAUAGUAUCCGAAGAGGAAGGGACGGCUAACUUCGUGCCAGCAGCCGCGGUAAUACGAAGGUCCCAAGCGUUGUUCGGAAUCACUGGGCGUAAAGAGUAUGUAGGCGGUGUGGAAAGUCAGAUGUGAAAUCUCCGGGCUCAACCCGGAAACUGCAUCCGAUACUACCACACUAGAGUAAUGGAGGGGUGACUGGAAUUCUCGGUGUAGCAGUGAAAUGCGUAGAUAUCGAGAGGAACACUCGUGGCGAAGGCGAGUCACUGGACAUUUACUGACGCUGAGAUACGAAGGCCAGGGUAGCGAA